This 97-nucleotide small nucleolar RNA is filed under the name Mola mola (ocean sunfish). Its description in RNAcentral is "small Cajal body-specific RNA 18 (ENSMMOG00000021498.1)". Lineage: Eukaryota; Metazoa; Chordata; Actinopteri; Tetraodontiformes; Molidae. The record is from RNAcentral.
GGGUCAAUGAUGACUAGCCCACUGCGCAAGCUGAUCAGUGCCGAGCAGUUUUGAGGGCACUGCUGGAGAAAUCAGUGCUGUUGAUUGGCUGAGACCC